GGCCCAGAUCGUUUACCGUGAAAAAAUUAGAGUGUUCAAAGCAGGCAGAUCCAAUUUUCUGCCACCGAAUACAUUAGCAUGGGAUAAUGGAAUAGGACCCUGUCCUCCUAUUUUCAGUUGGUUUUGGCAGCGCAAGGACUAGGGUAAUGAUUAAUAGGGAUAGUUGGGGGCAUUAAUAUUUAAUUGUCAGAGGUGAAAUUCUUGGAUUUAUGAAAGAUUAACUUCUGCGAAAGCAUCUGCCAAGGAUGUUUUCAUUAAUCAAGAACGAAAGUUAGGGGAUCGAAGACGAUCAGAUACCGUCGUAGUCUUAACCAUAAACGAUGCCGACCAGCGAUUAGGAGACGUUGAAUACAAAACACCACCAUCGGCGCGGUCGUCCUUGGCGUGUCUCGGCUUCACGGCCGGGGCGCGCGAGGGCGGUUUAGCCCGGUGGCACCGGUGAAUGACUCCCCUAGCAGCUUGUGAGA
RNAcentral lists this ribosomal RNA (467 nucleotides) under Acanthamoeba sp. RNAcentral describes it as "SSU rRNA". It matches the Rfam family "Eukaryotic small subunit ribosomal RNA", at positions 740 to 1095 of the family's 1831-position model. Lineage: Eukaryota; Discosea; Longamoebia; Acanthamoebidae. The record is from RNAcentral.